This 242-nucleotide unclassified non-coding RNA is filed under the name uncultured fungus. RNAcentral describes it as "sequence contains ITS1, 5.8S rRNA gene". The stretch from base 194 to 242 matches the Rfam family "5.8S ribosomal RNA", at positions 1 to 49 of the family's 154-position model. The record is from RNAcentral. Lineage: Eukaryota; Fungi.
UCUCCGUAGGUGAACCUGCGGAGGGAUCAUUACAGAGCAUCAUGCCCUUCGGGGUAGAUCUCCCACCCUGUGUAUUAUAUACCUUUUGUUGCUUUGGUGGGCCGCCUCGGCCACCGGUUCCGGCUGGUGCGUGCCCGCCAGAGGACCCCAAACUCUGAAUGUUAGUGUCGUCUGAGUACUAUCUAAUAGUUAAAACUUUCAACAACGGAGCUCUUGGUUCUUGCAUCGAUGAAGAACGCAGC